This is a long non-coding RNA of Lolium rigidum, 294 nucleotides long. RefSeq lists it as uncharacterized. The transcript has 2 exons. NCBI's taxonomy places the organism in Eukaryota, Viridiplantae, Streptophyta, Magnoliopsida, Poales, Poaceae. The record is from RefSeq and is a predicted model, not a curated record.
GAAACGUUGUUUAGCACACAUAACACAAGAAAAUGUGCCAUUAAGCAUCAAUUUCUGCUCAACAUCCUUUGAGAAGGAAGUCUAUGAAGAUUUUGUUAGACGAAUACCAUUCUCGGGAAAGAGCCCUAGAGUUGUGGAGAUAUACGAAACAUGGGUGGACCACAGGACUUUUGGACUAUCAAUGCGCGUGAAUGGUCAUAUAUCAGAACAUUGUAUGAACAUGAUGGGCCAAGCUAUUAUGUCAGAAGGGAAUGAUGCAGCUUUCGACAUGCAUGUAUUGCAUUCCGAAUAUGC